Molecule: long non-coding RNA, 1913 nt
Organism: Salvia miltiorrhiza (redroot sage)
Lineage: Eukaryota; Viridiplantae; Streptophyta; Magnoliopsida; Lamiales; Lamiaceae
Exons: 3
Source: RefSeq, a predicted model, not a curated record
UAUAAACAUCAUCUCAUCUAUACCUUACAGAAUUUUUGAACAUCAUCUUGUCAGUAGCUUGAAAUAUAACAUUUGACUUUGUAUGUCGAACUUCUAAUCUUAUCUGAAGUUUGAUAUAUGUGAUUUGGCUUAUGAGCAUCAUCUCAUCUGUAACUUGAAGAUAAAACAUGACUUGUGAGCAACAUCUCAUUCGGAGCUCGUAAGACAAUAACUGACUUGUGAGCAUCAUCUCGUGUGGAGCUUGAAAGAUCAUAACUGACUUGUGAGCGUCAUCUCGUCUAUAAUUUAAUAGAUCAAAGUUGAAUUCUAAGCAUCACACAUUUCGAGCUUGAAAGACCACAAAUGAAUGCUAAGCAAUAUGUCAUUUGAAGUUUCAAGACCGAAAUUAAGUUAUAAGCAUCAUUUUGUUUGGAUCUUGACAAACCACUUCUAAUUUAUGAGCACUACAUUGUUUGGAGCUAAAAUACUCAUGAGACCAUAAUUGGCUUGUGAGCAUCAUCUCGUGUGGACCUUGUAAGAAUUCCAUUAGGUAUUAUGAAAAAAAAAAGUUUUAUAAGUGUUUCAUCUCUACAUUAUGAUGAAUUGAUGAUAAGAGUCAAAUGUCAUAAGCUAAAUCUUGACCCCUACAAAUUUCACAAGUUCCAACUUUCUAGGAUGAAAAAGUUAUCAAGCACAACACACUUUGAUCUUCCCAGUUUCAGUGUAGUCAAGAAUCAUAAAACCCCCAAACCACCACAAAUAUUCAGAAAGUAAACACAAAAAAUCCAAUCGGCCGCUAUCCAGACACAAAUGAACACCACGCAGAAAAAUAUUAACUUAAUCAAUUCCAGAAACAAUAGAAUUCUUGAUUCAAUCAUCACAAAAUGAACCCAAAAGAUGAAAACAGACCAAAUAAAUAUCAUUACCGUGAAAUGCUAAAACCCCACCAAAAACCACACGUCUAAACAAAUGGGAGGGCACAAAAUAUUGAAUUUCAAGGGAUCCUUUUAUGUUAUAGAGGAAAACAAAAAUUAAACCCAAAUUUGGCACCAAUUUUGAGGUGUUAUGUCAAUAUAUGAAAGGAAAGAGUGAAGAACUUGACCCACCUUUUCCAAUUUGGAUCCGUACAACCGAUGAAUGGACGAUGAUGAUGGUAAUAGACGGCUAAUGCACUUGAAGAUGAAAAUCCAAAAUUCAAGCACUAUCUCACCUCCAUCAUCAUAUUUGUAAUUGUAUUUCACAAUCUGAUUUUCGUUUAUGAAAGCUAAAACCGUGGACCGUCCAUUGUUUGUACGUUUAUUCUUUUACCCAAUUAAUUUAUGGGAUCCCCACUUUAAAGAAAUUUAACAUCAUAAAAAUCGAAAUUUACAUCAUUAAAAUCAGAAAAAAAGCAAGAACCUAAAUGAUAAUUAAAUUGAUGAAUGGUUCUUAGAAAUCAAGAGUAAUUUUUUUUUUUUUUUUAUAUCACUCACCUGCGGUUCUGGAACCAAACGUGUUUGAGCUUAAUGUUGAAAAGAAUGGGGCAUUCCCUGGUGAGCUGCAGCCGGCGGCGGCGGCGGCGGCGACUGGAGGAGACGAAGCUCGCGGCGACGACUUAGGAUUAUAGAUUUGGGAGUGGGAGAGAGGCGAUGGGAGAGCAAGAGAGGCUGCAUAUAUGGUAGGGCGUCAGAGAAGAGCUGGCAUGCCUCGGAGGCUCCUAUGGUAGAGCGUUAGAUACCAAAUUAGGGCAUUUGCAUUGAUAUGGAGAGAGAAAUUUGCGCCAUAGAUCAAGCGAUGGGGAGAAAAAACCAAAUCAAGGUAUUUGCAGAUUGAUUACUGUGAGAAGCUGAGUUUUUUCGAAGGCGUAAAAGGUAGAAUUUAGAUAAAUCGAAAUAGAGACUUUUGAGAGCGCCACGUAGGAUAGAGAAUUGUUGUGGGCUCUCAAAAAUGUAUUG